UGUGGACUCCUGCUCCUGGCCUUGGCUCUCUUGACCCUCACUUUUGAACUCCUGGAGCUGAGCACCAGCCCUGGCAUCCCAAGAGGGCAGCAGUCAGCGAGGGAACAGAACAAACCCUUGCACAAGCAGCACCUACUGCCUGGAGAGCAAGGAGCAGCAGAGGCCAAGCUGCAAUUCCCUCCACGGCUGCAUCCACAAGGGAGUGCAAGGGAGUCAGACUCUCCUCUUUUUCUUUUCUUGUCCUGUUUUUCCUCCUCUUGGUAUUUUGCUGCACCCAGCUUUUGAUUUUAUCUUUCUGCUCUUUACCUCUCUCACCAAGAAAAUGGUCAAGUUGUUGACUCGGAGAUAUUUAUCUGAAUACUUCAGCCAUUUGAGUCUCCUCACAAUAUGCCUUGGAGGGCUGAACUGCUGUUAUGAGUCUAUUACUUCCAAGGGCUUAUUAGGCAGCAUCCCUCUUCACAGUGAAGCCUGCAGAAUGACAUCAGACCAUGUGGAGAAGGAAAGGGCUGUUUAAGCUAAAGGACGCUAUGCUGGUGUGUGACAUACCAUCUAAUGAAUGAGAUUCUUCUUGCCUGCAUGAUUAAAAGCUUAUAAUGCUUCUGCUGCUACUGAAAACAAACCUCCUUGCUUUGUCGCUGAGUGAGUUUGGU
Long non-coding RNA from Nothoprocta perdicaria, 650 nucleotides. RefSeq lists it as uncharacterized. Lineage: Eukaryota; Metazoa; Chordata; Aves; Tinamiformes; Tinamidae. The transcript has 2 exons. The record is from RefSeq and is a predicted model, not a curated record.